Molecule: ribosomal RNA, 367 nt
Filed under: uncultured bacterium
Lineage: Bacteria
Description: bacterial SSU rRNA
Rfam family: Bacterial small subunit ribosomal RNA
Source: RNAcentral
GUGGGAACGUGCCCUUUGGUUCGGAACAACCCAGGGAAACUUGGGCUAAUACCGGAUACGCCCUUCGGGGGAAAGAUUCAUCGCCAAAGGAUCGGCCCGCGUCUGAUUAGCUAGUUGGUGGGGUAACGGCCACCAAGGCGACGAUCAGUAGCUGGUCUGAGAGGAUGAUCAGCCACACUGGGACUGAGACACGGCCCAGACUCCUACGGGAGGCAGCAGUGGGGAAUAUUGGACAAUGGGCGCAAGCCUGAUCCAGCCAUGCCGCGUGAGUGAUGAAGGCCCUAGGGUUGUAAAGCUCUUUCGCACGCGACGAUAAUGACGGUAGCGUGAGAAGAAGCCCCGGCUAACUUCGUGCCAGCAGCCGCGG